Molecule: ribosomal RNA, 484 nt
Filed under: uncultured bacterium
Lineage: Bacteria
Description: partial 16S ribosomal RNA
Rfam family: Bacterial small subunit ribosomal RNA
Source: RNAcentral
AGUGAACGCUGGCGGCGUGCUUAACACAUGCAAGUCGAACGAGAACGGAUUAUAGCUUGCUAUAAUUGUCAGCUAAGUGGCGCACGGGUGAGUAAUGUAUAGGUAAUAUGCCUCUUACUAAGGGAUAACAAAUGGAAACGUUUGCUAAUACCUUAUACUCCUUAUUAACAGAAGUUAAUAAGGGAAAGAUUUAUUGGUAAGAGAUUAGCCUGUAUUGUAUCAGUUAGUUGGUGGGGUAAUGGCUUACCAAGACUAUGACACAUAACUGGUUUGAGAGGAUGAUCAGUCACACUGGAACUGAGACACGGUCCAGACUCCUACGGGAGGCAGCAGUGGGGAAUAUUGCACAAUGGACGAAAGUCUGAUGCAGCAACGCCGCGUGGAGGAUGACACAUUUCGGUGCGUAAACUCCUUUUAUAUGAGAAGAUAGUGACGGUAUUGUAUGAAUAAGCACCGGCUAACUCCGUGCCAGCCGCCGCAGUAA